This 255-nucleotide ribosomal RNA is filed under the name uncultured bacterium. Its description in RNAcentral is "partial 16S ribosomal RNA". It matches the Rfam family "Bacterial small subunit ribosomal RNA", at positions 524 to 776 of the family's 1533-position model. The record is from RNAcentral.
UACGGAGGGGGCUAGCGUUGUCCGAAGUUACUGGGCGUAAAGCGCGCGUAGGCGGGUUGGUAAGUCCGCUGUGAAAGCCCGGAGCUCAACUCCGGAGGGUCGGUGGAUACUGCCAGUCUUGAAGGUGCUAGGGGGGAGAUGGAAUUACCGGUGUAGCGGUGAAAUGCGUAGAUAUCGGUAGGAACACCAGUGGCGAAGGCGGUCUCCUGGGGCAUUCUUGACGCUGAGGCGCGGAAAGCUGGGGGAGCGAACGGG